RNAcentral lists this small RNA (279 nucleotides) under Sorex araneus (European shrew). Its description in RNAcentral is "7SK RNA (ENSSARG00000018210.1)". It matches the Rfam family "7SK RNA", at positions 1 to 249 of the family's 331-position model. Rfam says of the family: 7SK was discovered as an abundant small nuclear RNA in the mid-70s but a possible function has only recently been suggested. Two independent studies have found that 7SK RNA binds the CDK9/cyclin T complex (known as elongation factor P-TEFb). The record is from RNAcentral. Lineage: Eukaryota; Metazoa; Chordata; Mammalia; Eulipotyphla; Soricidae.
GGAUGUGAGGGCACUCUGACUCAACAUCUGUCACCGCAUUGACUGCCAGAAUUGAUUUAAGCUGAUCUGGCAGGCUAGGCAGGAGUCCCCUUCCUCCCUCACCACUCCAUGACCGCUCCAUGUGUGUCCCCAGAAGCUGCGCACUCUGCCGAAGAGGACAGCCUUCCCCUGACAAGACUACUAAGACACGGUUCUUGGGUCGAGAGUAGCUGUGUUCCCCUGCUACAACCUCCAAACAAACUUCUGCCUCAGUGGUCCUGGCCCUGAUACCAGCAUCUG